Long non-coding RNA from Fukomys damarensis (Damara mole-rat), 216 nucleotides. RefSeq lists it as uncharacterized. The record is from RefSeq and is a predicted model, not a curated record. The transcript has 3 exons. Lineage: Eukaryota; Metazoa; Chordata; Mammalia; Rodentia; Bathyergidae.
GGUCACUGAAGAGGCGGCCAGGCUCAAGGAGGUCCCCAGGAAAUCUCCUACAGUCCCGUCUGUGGGGAAACUGAGGCAGGGCAAAGGAGAUGACUCACAUUCACCAGGACCCUGGUGCCAGGCAUCUGAACCCUCAUUAUACUACGGAUGAGGAAGCCAGCUCAGAGCAGCCUCCUGGCCAAGUGCUUGGGCCAAGGCCAGAGACCAGAUCAGAGC